Molecule: ribosomal RNA, 448 nt
Filed under: uncultured bacterium
Lineage: Bacteria
Description: bacterial SSU rRNA
Rfam family: Bacterial small subunit ribosomal RNA
Source: RNAcentral
CCCAGACUCCUACGGGAGGCAGCAGUGGGGAAUAUUGGACAAUGGGGGGAACCCUGAUCCAGCGACGCCGCGUGAGUGAAGAAGUAUUUCGGUAUGUAAAGCUCUAUCAGCAGGGAAGAAAGAAAUGACGGUACCUGACUAAGAAGCCCCGGCUAACUACGUGCCAGCAGCCGCGGUAAUACGUAGGGAGCGAGCGUUAUCCGGAUUUACUGGGUGUAAAGGGCGUGUAGGCGGGAUGGCAAGUCAGGCGUGAAAACUAUGGGCUCAACCCAUAGCCUGCGUUUGAAACUGUCGUUCUUGAGUGAUGGAGAGGCAAGCGGAAUUCCGUGUGUAGCGGUGAAAUGCGUAGAUAUACGGAGGAACACCAGUGGCGAAGGCGGCUUGCUGGACAUUAACUGACGCUGAGGCGCGAAAGCGUGGGGAGCAAACAGGAUUAGAUACCCCAGUA